Molecule: ribosomal RNA, 901 nt
Filed under: uncultured archaeon
Lineage: Archaea
Description: bacterial SSU rRNA
Rfam family: Archaeal small subunit ribosomal RNA
Source: RNAcentral
UUCCGGUUGAUCCUGCCGGAGGCGACCGCUUUUGGAGUUCGAUUAAGCCAUGCGAGUAGAAUGAAUUAGAUCAUUGCGAACUGCUCAGUAACACGUGGAUAACCUGCCCUAUGCUCUGGGAUAACCUUGGGAAACUGAGAACAAGGCCGGAUAACCCACUAUGCCUGGAACGGUUUGUGGGUGAAGAUAGGAUGGGUCUGCGGCGUAUCAGGUCGUAGGGGGUGUAAUGGACCUCCUAGCCAUCGACGCGUACGGGUGUUGGGAGACAUAGCCCGGAGAUGGAUUCUGAGACACGAAUCCAGACCCUACGGGGUGCAGCAGGCGCGAAAACUUCACACUGCAGGAAACUGUGAUGAGGGAACUCCAAGUGCAUCCACUAUGUGGAUGCUUUUUUUGACUAUUAAUCGGUCAACGAAUAAGGGCUGGGAAAGACCGGUGCCAGCCGCCGCGGUAAUACCGGCAGCUCAAGUGGUCGUCGCUUUUAUUGGGCCUAAAACGUCCGUAGCCUGUUUGGUAAAUCUGUGGGUAAAUCAACCAGCUUAACUGGUUGAAUUCUGCAGAGACUGCCAGACUAGGGACCGGGAGAGGUGUGGGGUACUCUAGGGGUAGGGGUAAAAUCCUGUCAUCCUUAGAGGACCACCAGUUGCGAAGGCGCCACACUGGAACGGAUCCGACGGUCAGGGACGAAGCCUAGGGGCACGAACCGGAUUAGAUACCCGGGUAGUCCUAGGUGUAAACGCUGUGAACUUGGUGUCGGGGAUCCGUCAUGGGUCCCCGGUGCCGGAGUGAAGAUGUUAAGUUCACUGCCUGGGGAGUACGGUCGCAAGGCUGAAACUUAAAGGAAUUGGCGGGGGAGCACUGCAACGGGAGGAGCGUGCGGUUUAAUUGGAUCAACGCCGAA